RNAcentral lists this ribosomal RNA (461 nucleotides) under uncultured bacterium. RNAcentral describes it as "partial 16S ribosomal RNA". It matches the Rfam family "Bacterial small subunit ribosomal RNA", at positions 338 to 795 of the family's 1533-position model. The record is from RNAcentral.
CCUACGGGGGGCAGCAGUGAGGAAUAUUGGUCAAUGGGCUUACGCCUGAACCAGCCAAGUCGCGUGAGGGAAGACUGCCCUAUGGGUUGUAAACCUCUUUUGUCAGGGAGCAAUUGGCGCUACGUGUAGCGUUAUCGAGAGUACCUGAAGAAAAAGCAUCGGCUAACUCCGUGCCAGCAGCCGCGGUAAUACGGGGGAUCCGAGCGUUAUCCGGAGUUAUUGGGUUUAAAGGGAUCGUAGGUGGGUUGGUAAGUCGGUUGUGAAAGUUUGCGGAUCAACCGUAAAAUUGCAAUUGAUACUGGCAGCCUUGAGUACAGUUGAGGUAGGCGGAAUUCGUGGUGUAGCAGUGAAAUGCGUAGAUAGCGCGAAGAACUCCGAUUGCGAAGGCAGCCUACUAAACAGCCACUGACAUUGAUGCUCGAAGGUGUGGGUAUCAAACAGGAUUAGAUACCCCAGUAGUC